AAUCAACGCUGGCGGCGUGCCUCAGACAUGCAAGUCGAACGAUUAAAGCUCUCUUCGGAGAGUGCAUAGAGUGGCGCACGGGUGAGUAACACGUAAGUAAUCUACCUUCGAGUGGGGAAUAACGUCCGGAAACGGACGCUAAUACCGCAUAAUGCAGCGGCAUCGCAAGAUGACAGUUGUUAAAGGAGCAAUUCGCUUGAAGAGGAGCUUGCGGCAGAUUAGCUAGUUGGUAAGGUAAUGGCUUACCAAGGCUACGAUCUGUAACCGGUCUAAGAGGACGGUCGGUCACACUGACACUGAAUAACGGGUCAGACUCCUACGGGAGGCAGCAGUCGGGAAUUUUGGGCAAUGGGCGAAAGCCUGACCCAGCAACGCCGCGUGAAGGAUGAAGUAUUUCGGUAUGUAAACUUCGAAAGAAUAGGAAGAAUAAAUGACGGUACUAUUUAUAAGGUCCGGCUAACUACGUGCCAGCAGCCGCCGUAAC
RNAcentral lists this ribosomal RNA (484 nucleotides) under uncultured bacterium. RNAcentral's name for it is "bacterial SSU rRNA". It matches the Rfam family "Bacterial small subunit ribosomal RNA", at positions 32 to 524 of the family's 1533-position model. The record is from RNAcentral.